GGCUUGGGUCUUACGCGACGGAAAUCUGUGAAUCGUGUCAGGUCGGGAACGAAGCAGCACUAAGCAGAAUCUUCCGGGUGCCGUGAGGGUGCCUGGGCUGAGU
RNAcentral lists this signal recognition particle RNA (103 nucleotides) under [Clostridium] hylemonae DSM 15053. RNAcentral describes it as "Bacterial signal recognition particle RNA". It matches the Rfam family "Bacterial small signal recognition particle RNA". From Rfam's summary of the family: The signal recognition particle (SRP) is a universally conserved ribonucleoprotein involved in the co-translational targeting of proteins to membranes. Archaeal SRP consists of a 7S RNA and homologues of the eukaryotic SRP19 and SRP54 proteins. The record is from RNAcentral. Lineage: Bacteria; Bacillati; Bacillota; Clostridia; Lachnospirales; Lachnospiraceae.